UGCGUAGGCGGAAGAUUAAGUCAGUGAUGAAAUCCUGCAGCUCAACUGUAGAACUGUCAUUGAUACUGAUUUUCUUGAAUUCAGUUGAGGUAGGCGGAAUGUGUAAUGUAGCGGUGAAAUGCUUAGAUAUUACACAGAACACCAAUUGCGAAGGCAGCUUACUAAACUGUGAUUGACGCUGAGGCACGAAAGCGUGGGGAGCGAACAGGAUUAGAUACCCUGGUAGUCC
This 229-nucleotide ribosomal RNA is filed under the name uncultured bacterium. RNAcentral's name for it is "partial 16S ribosomal RNA". It matches the Rfam family "Bacterial small subunit ribosomal RNA", at positions 568 to 796 of the family's 1533-position model. The record is from RNAcentral.